This 72-nucleotide transfer RNA is filed under the name Bos indicus x Bos taurus (hybrid cattle). It matches the Rfam family "tRNA". From Rfam's summary of the family: Transfer RNA (tRNA) molecules are approximately 80 nucleotides in length. Lineage: Eukaryota; Metazoa; Chordata; Mammalia; Artiodactyla; Bovidae. RNAcentral also lists the same sequence under 2 other names. The record is from Rfam by way of RNAcentral.
UCCUUGAUGGCUCAGAUGGUAAAGCAUCUGUCUACAAUGCGGGAGACCCGGGUUCGAUCCCUGGGUUGGGAA